UACAGGGUGGAUAAAGAACCUUUUUCACCUGUGCCAAGCACAAGACCCACCCUGACCUACUCAUCAGCCAUGUCUGGAGCCUUGCUUGCAGGACACCCUCAGAGCAGAAGAUUUUCCUCCUCUGCUAAUCUCUGAAGAGCUGGACCUCACCUUGGCAGGUACCUCCUCAUUUGCGUGCACUUGCUGAUGUGUUCUCUUACCCUGCCACAGGCUUCCCCAAAGCUAAUGCCUGUUAAUGCUUCUCAGGUGCUGGCUGCAUGGAGUGCUGAUGUCUUUUAUUGAAAGACAAGGAGUCAUCUUCUCCUUAGGAAAUGUUUAUGUGCCUUCCACAACACCAAAUUGAGCAAACAGAUUACCUCUCAGGAAGCCAUCUGCUCCAGCACCCUGUGAACGCUCAGUGGGAACUGAUCCUGGAUACAGUCUGCCUAGCAAUGUGGUUGUGCUUUAGCAGUGCAGGUAAACAAGCUUUUCAAACAGCUGAUCUACAGACCUGAUGAAGUUUCUGGCACUGGAGAUCUUUCCAAUCAAGGCUCAGCAUCUCUGUCGGAGGCUGUGCCGUAGGGCGGCGAGGACUCGCCUGCAGCACGGAUCCUGCUGGAGGAGGCUCUGCGCUCUGCUUAACUAAUGCUGUAUAAAUAAAUU
Pogoniulus pusillus (Red-fronted tinkerbird) is the source of this 642-nucleotide long non-coding RNA. RefSeq lists it as uncharacterized. Lineage: Eukaryota; Metazoa; Chordata; Aves; Piciformes; Lybiidae. The record is from RefSeq and is a predicted model, not a curated record. The transcript has 4 exons.